GCAACGCGAAGAACCUUACCAGGCCUGACAUGCAGAGAACUUCCAGAGAUGGAUUGGUGCCUUCGGGAACUCUGACACAGGUGCUGCAUGGCUGUCGUCAGCUCGUGUCGUGAGAUGUUGGGUUAAGUCCCGUAACGAGCGCAACCCUUGUCCUUAGUUACCAGCACGUUAUGGUGGGCACUCUAAGGAGACUGCCGGUGACAAACCGGAGGAAGGUGAGGAUGACGUCAAGUCAUCAUGGCCCUUACGGCCUGGGCUACACACGUGCUACAAUGGUCGGUACAAAGGGUUGCCAAGCCGCGAGGUGGAGCUAAUCCCAUAAAACCGAUCGUAGUCCGGAUCGCAGUCUGCAACUCGACUGCGUGAAGUCGGAAUCGCUAGUAAUCGUGAAUCAGAAUGUCACGGUGAAUACGUUCCCGGGCCUU
This 425-nucleotide ribosomal RNA is filed under the name uncultured Pseudomonas sp. Its description in RNAcentral is "bacterial SSU rRNA". It matches the Rfam family "Bacterial small subunit ribosomal RNA", at positions 956 to 1382 of the family's 1533-position model. Lineage: Bacteria; Pseudomonadati; Pseudomonadota; Gammaproteobacteria; Pseudomonadales; Pseudomonadaceae. The record is from RNAcentral.